This is a long non-coding RNA of Mauremys mutica (yellowpond turtle), 454 nucleotides long. RefSeq lists it as uncharacterized. The record is from RefSeq and is a predicted model, not a curated record. The transcript has 3 exons. Lineage: Eukaryota; Metazoa; Chordata; Testudines; Geoemydidae.
UCCAGCCAAUGAGCAAAGAUGUUAGCAGGAGAGGCCAUGUAACAAAAGGACCAUUAUCUCCAAAUGCCUGGAAUAAACAUUGUGAUGUCUCUUUAAAUGGCAGUUACUCUAUUGGCCAGUCCAUUGUGUGGAAACCAGGCGGUCUGUUGUUAGCCAUGCACAUCUAUUCAAGCAAACUGGGCACGGACAUCUUGCUGAGCAAAGCGGAACACAGGAUAUAUAUACAUUUUCUUAGCAAAGAGACACUACAGCAAUCCUGGAGUCAGCCAGCCUCACAUAAAUCACAGCUGGGUAUUUAAAGAAAUGAAAUGGAGUGCAAGUCUCUUGUCUCCUCUUCAGUUUCCAGGUGCUGAGCUCGGAUGUCUGGAUUGGCAGCAAUUAACCCAGCUAAUGAAUGCCUGGCCCUCUAUGAAGUGAUGGAUUAUUUUGUGCAGAUUCUGUAUAGCCACUCAAC